UACAGAGGUGGCAAGCGUUGUUCGGAAUUACUGGGCGUAAAGGGCGCGUAGGCGGCCUUCUAAGUCAGACGUGAAAUCCCCCGGCUUAACCUGGGAACUGCGUCUGAUACUGGAGGGCUUGAGUAUGGGAGAGGGAUGUAGAAUUCCAGGUGUAGCGGUGAAAUGCGUAGAUAUCUGGAGGAAUACCGGUGGCGAAGGCAGCCCCCUGGGUCAAGAUUGACGCUCAUGCACGAAAGCGUGGGGAGCAAACAGG
This 253-nucleotide ribosomal RNA is filed under the name uncultured bacterium. RNAcentral describes it as "partial 16S ribosomal RNA". It matches the Rfam family "Bacterial small subunit ribosomal RNA", at positions 524 to 776 of the family's 1533-position model. The record is from RNAcentral.